AAAAACUAAGAGGGAACCUCGAGGGGAAGAACCAGUUCCUUGGAUUUCUACACCUUGGGAGCGAAGUCUACCCUCUCCAUUCUUGUGCCUUCAUUCCAUGGAAAACAGCACUCGAAAACAGCCCUGAAGCGGCACUCCAUCCUGACGAGACCUCACCUUUCUUUGCCCAGGGGGUGGGGGGGGGGUCUUCCCAUUCCACAUAAUGGCCGUGAAAGCAUCCGUCUGCCCAGGUUUUCUCUUUUAAUUAGGAAAAGAAUACUGCAUGGGCUGUUGUGGGACCUCUGCCAUCCAAAGUCAAAAUAAAUCGAGACAACUGCCACAUCAAACGUUACAUUUAAGAUUAAGAAAAACAGAUGGAGCCGCGGAGGAAUCUUUUUCAGGGUUGGAUAAGGGCGUUCCGGUUCGGGACAAAAAUGCCAAUGAAGGAGAGCAGAGCCAUGGGGUUACACAAUAACCAGCCAAUUAAAAAAUCUUCUGAAGCCCAGGGCUGCUUGACAUAUCAGUGACCAGGUUCAAAAAUAACCUUGUGCAACAGCUGCAGACUCAAGACUUUCCAAACAGAGACUCGGGAUUUUCCAAACACCCUAUUCCCUGAUUUAUUGGGAAUACAGACAUUCUUCUCCCCUUUACUAACCUUCUCCCACUCUGAAGCCUGUAGAAACCACAAGUAUAUCACCUUUUCCCAUUCUUCGUAAGAACGCUUUCUCUCUCUGCUUGGCUUGCAUAAACACUUUUCAGACAAUAAAUGUUUUGU
Molecule: long non-coding RNA, 754 nt
Organism: Sarcophilus harrisii (Tasmanian devil)
Lineage: Eukaryota; Metazoa; Chordata; Mammalia; Dasyuromorphia; Dasyuridae
Exons: 3
Source: RefSeq, a predicted model, not a curated record